This 441-nucleotide ribosomal RNA is filed under the name uncultured bacterium. RNAcentral describes it as "partial 16S ribosomal RNA". It matches the Rfam family "Bacterial small subunit ribosomal RNA", at positions 338 to 795 of the family's 1533-position model. The record is from RNAcentral.
CCUACGGGUGACAGCAGUGGGGAAUAUUGCACAAUGGGGGAAACCCUGAUGCAGCGACGCCGCGUGAGUGAAGAAGUAUUUCGGUAUGUAAAGCUCUAUCAGCAGGGAAGAAGCAAGACGGUACCUGACUAAGAAGCCCCGGCUAACUACGUGCCAGCAGCCGCGGUAAUAAGGAGGGGGCGAGCGUUAUCCGGGUUUACGGGGUGGAAAGGGAGCGUAGACGGUAUGGCAAGUCUGAAGUGAAAGUCCAGGGCUUAACCCUGGGACUGCUGUGGAAACUGUUAGACUAGAGUGCUGGAGAGGUAAGCGGAAUUCCUAGGGUAGCGGUGAAAUGCGUAGAUAUUACGAGGAACACCAGUUGCGAAGGCGACUUACUGGACAGUAACUGACGUUGAGGCUCGAAAGCGUGGGGAGCAAACAGGAUUAGAUACCCUAGUAGUC